RNAcentral lists this ribosomal RNA (491 nucleotides) under Mesoscincus managuae (Managua skink). RNAcentral describes it as "partial large subunit ribosomal RNA". It matches the Rfam family "Bacterial large subunit ribosomal RNA", at positions 1910 to 2593 of the family's 2925-position model. The record is from RNAcentral. Lineage: Eukaryota; Metazoa; Chordata; Lepidosauria; Squamata; Scincidae.
CAGUGAAAAUUUAAACGGCCGCGGUAUUCUAACCGUGCAAAGGUAGCGUAAUCACUUGUCUUCUAAAUAAAGACCAGUAUGAACGGCUAAAUGAGGACAAACCUGUCUCCUACAACCAAUCAGUGAAACUGAUCUCCCAGUCCAAAAGCUGGGAUAAUACCAUAAGACGAGAAGACCCUGUGGAGCUUUAAAUAAAUCACUAACAAGCACUUACUUUAAGCGCACCUAGUGACAAAUUUUAAGUUGGGGCGACUUCGGAAUAAAAUACAACUUCCGAGCAAAGAACCACAAGCUCUUACAAAGGCCAACAAGCCAAAGUUUUAAACAACAGACCCAGUCACACUGAUCAACGAACCAAGUUACCCCAGGGAUAACAGCGCUAUCUUCUUCAAGAGUCCAUAUCGACAAGAAGGUUUACGACCUCGAUGUUGGAUCAGGACACCCAAAUGGUGCAGCCGCUAUUAAAGGUUCGUUUGUUCAACGAUUAAUAG